UGGGGAAUAUUGCGCAAUGGGGGAAACCCUGACGCAGCAACGCCGCGUGAAGGAUGAAGGUUUUCGGAUUGUAAACUUCUUUGAUGAGGGACGAUAAUGACGGUACCUCAAAAACAAGCCACGGCUAACUACGUGCCAGCAGCCGCGGUAAUACGUAGGUGGCAAGCGUUGUCCGGAAUUACUGGGUGUAAAGGGCGUGUAGGCGGGGCGGCAAGUCAGAUGUGAAAUACCGUGGCUUAACUGCGGGGGUGCAUCUGAAACUGUUUUUCUUGAGUGUCGGAGAGGAAAGCGGAAUUCCUAGUGUAGCGGUGAAAUGCGUAGAUAUUAGGAGGAACACCAGUGGCGAAGGCGGCUUUCUGGACGACAACUGACGCUGAGGCGCGAAAGCGUGGGGAGCAAACAGG
This 404-nucleotide ribosomal RNA is filed under the name uncultured prokaryote. Its description in RNAcentral is "bacterial SSU rRNA". It matches the Rfam family "Bacterial small subunit ribosomal RNA", at positions 355 to 776 of the family's 1533-position model. The record is from RNAcentral. RNAcentral also lists the same sequence under 1 other name.